This is a long non-coding RNA of Apis mellifera (honey bee), 874 nucleotides long. RefSeq lists it as uncharacterized. The record is from RefSeq and is a predicted model, not a curated record. NCBI's taxonomy places the organism in Eukaryota, Metazoa, Arthropoda, Insecta, Hymenoptera, Apidae. The transcript is spliced from 2 exons.
AAUAUAUAUAUAUUUGAUAUUUCUAAGGAUUUUAGAGAUUUUAAAAACGCACAGAAAAUUUUUGUAUUCAUGUACUCAUGACAGAAGAUAUGUGAUAAAAAAUUAAAUAUAGAUUUUUGUGUGAAUUAUCGUAAGAAAUAUCUCUAAAAAAAAUGACAACAUGAGAAAAAGCGAUAAAAAUUUUCCAAGAAAUUGAGCUCAUUUCCAAAAAUUAUCGGAAAUCUUCCUAUUAACUAGAUGAAAGAAGAAUUAAUACCAAAAUAUGAAAAUAUUGAAAUAAUAAUGUGGUAAGUAUCUAAAUUAUAAAUUUUUCUAAUAUUUCGUGAAUUUAACAAAUUUUUAGUGCUGCAAAGGACAAUAGCUAUAAAAAGAGAGAAAUAAGUGAAUAAUAAGUAGACAUAAGUAUUUCUAGAAUUAAAAGAACUGUUGAAAAAUAUUUACGUCCACAAAACAACAGAUCUAAAAAGGUAAGUAUAAUAUAUAAAAUAUAUACUCCUAUUAUCCAUAUUUCUCCAUCCUGUAUAUUCCUGUCUUCUUAUACUCCUAUUAUCCAUAUUCCUUAAUUCUGAAUUUUCCUAUAUUCCUAUUAUCCAUAUUCCUUAAUUCUGAACAUUCCUGUGAUCCUAUACUCAUUAUCCAUAUACCUUAAUCCUGAAUAUUCCCGUCUUUUUAUAUUCCUAUUAUCCACAUUCCUUAAUUCCGAAUAUUCCUAUGUUUCUAUAUUCCUAUUAUCCAUAUUCCUUUCUAAAUUUUCCUGGGUUCCUAUAUUCCUAUUAUACAUAUUCCUUAAUCCUGCAUAUUCCUGUCUUCCUAUAAUCCUGUUAUCCAUAUUCCUUAAUCCUGUAUAUCCUGCAUUCCUAUAUUCCCUUAGAAU